AAGGAAACCAAUAAAAUCAAUCAUCUUCAGUUUUGAAAGACUUAGGAUAACUAAGUUUUUCUUCGUGACUUCACGAAGGGCCUAUAGCUCAGUUGGUUAGAGCACACGCCUGAUAAGCGUGAGGUCGGUGGUUCAAGUCCAUUUAGGCCCACCAGAGUUAUAGGUGUCGUAAGAACACAAAUUCUUUGAAAAUUAGGUAAAUAAUAGUUAUUUUCCGGAACAU
This 223-nucleotide unclassified non-coding RNA is filed under the name Candidatus Phytoplasma citri. RNAcentral's name for it is "Candidatus Phytoplasma aurantifolia 16S-23S ribosomal RNA intergenic spacer". The stretch from base 78 to 151 matches the Rfam family "tRNA". The record is from RNAcentral. Lineage: Bacteria; Bacillati; Mycoplasmatota; Mollicutes; Acholeplasmatales; Acholeplasmataceae.